CCUACGGGAGGCAGCAGUGAGGAAUAUUGGUCAAUGGGCGGAAGCCUGAACCAGCCAAGUAGCGUGCGGGAUGAAGGCCCUACGGGUCGUAAACCGCUUUUGCACGGGGAUAACACCCUCCACUUGUGGAGGUCUGCAGGUACCGUGCGAAUAAGGGCCGGCUAAUUCCGUGCCAGCAGCCGCGGUAAUACGGAAGGCCCGAGCGUUAUCCGGAUUCAUUGGGCUUAAAGGGAGCGUAGGCGGGCGUUCAAGUCAGCUGUAAAAUGGCGCGGCUCAACCGCGGCCCGCAGUUGAAACUGGACGGCUUGGAGUCACAACAGGCAGGGGGAAUUCGUGGUGUAGCGGUGGAAUGCAU
RNAcentral lists this ribosomal RNA (355 nucleotides) under uncultured bacterium. RNAcentral describes it as "partial 16S ribosomal RNA". It matches the Rfam family "Bacterial small subunit ribosomal RNA", at positions 338 to 691 of the family's 1533-position model. The record is from RNAcentral.